CCUACGGGAGGCAGCAGUAGGGAAUAUUGGUCAAUGGACGAAAGUCUGAACCAGCCAUGCCGCGUGCAGGAUGACGGCCCUAUGGGUUGUAAACUGCUUUUGUACGGGAAGAAACCCCUUUACGUGUAGAGGGCUGACGGUACCGUAAGAAUAAGGAUCGGCUAACUCCGUGCCAGCAGCCGCGGUAAUACGGAGGAUCCAAGCGUUGUCCGGAUUUAUUGGGUUUAAAGGGUGCGUAGGCGGAUUACUAAGUCAGAGGUGAAAGUUUGCAGCUUAACUGUAAAAUUGCCUUUGAAACUGGUAAUCUUGAGUAUAGUUGAGGUGGGCGGAAUGUGUCAUGUAGCGGUGAAAUGCUUAGAUAUGAUACAGAACACCGAUUGCGAAGGCAGCUCACUAAACUAAAACUGACGCUGAGGCACGAAAGCGUGGGGAGCAAACAG
This 440-nucleotide ribosomal RNA is filed under the name uncultured bacterium. Its description in RNAcentral is "bacterial SSU rRNA". It matches the Rfam family "Bacterial small subunit ribosomal RNA", at positions 338 to 775 of the family's 1533-position model. The record is from RNAcentral.